This 194-nucleotide ribosomal RNA is filed under the name uncultured bacterium. Its description in RNAcentral is "partial 16S ribosomal RNA". It matches the Rfam family "Bacterial small subunit ribosomal RNA", at positions 338 to 524 of the family's 1533-position model. The record is from RNAcentral.
CCUACGGGAGGCAGCAGUGGGGAAUAUUGCACAAUGGGCGCAAGCCUGAUGCAGCCAUGCCGCGUGUAUGAAGAAGGCCUUCGGGCUGUAAAGUACUUUCAGCGGGGAGGAAGGGAGUGAGGUUAAUAACCUCGUUCAUUGACGUUACCCGCAGAAGAAGCACCGGCUAACUCCGUGCCAGCAGCCGCGGUAAU